Molecule: ribosomal RNA, 253 nt
Filed under: uncultured bacterium
Lineage: Bacteria
Description: partial 16S ribosomal RNA
Rfam family: Bacterial small subunit ribosomal RNA
Source: RNAcentral
UACGGAGGGGGCUAGCGUUGUUCGGAAUUACUGGGCGUAAAGCGCGCGUAGGCGGAUCUGCAAGUCGGGGGUGAAAUCCCGAGGCUCAACCUCGGAACUGCCUUCGAUACUGCGGGUCUCGAGUCCGGGAGAGGAUAGGGGAAUUCCUGGUGUAGCGGUGAAAUGCGUAGAUAUCAGGAGGAACACCGGUGGCGAAGGCGCCUAUCUGGCCCGAUACUGACGCUGAGGCGCGAAAGCUAGGGGAGCAAACGGG